UACGGAGGAUCCGAGCGUUAUCCGGAUUUAUUGGGUUUAAAGGGAGCGUAGGUGGAUUGUCAAGUCAGUUGUGAAAGUUUGCGGCUCAACCGUAAAAUUGCAGUUGAAACUGGCAGUCUUGAGUACAGUAGAGGUGGGCGGAAUUCGUGGUGUAGCGGUGAAAUGCUUAGAUAUCACGAAGAACUCCGAUUGCGAAGGCAGCUCACUGGACUGCAACUGACACUGAGGCUCGAAAGUGUGGGUAUCAAACAGG
This 253-nucleotide ribosomal RNA is filed under the name uncultured bacterium. Its description in RNAcentral is "partial 16S ribosomal RNA". It matches the Rfam family "Bacterial small subunit ribosomal RNA", at positions 524 to 776 of the family's 1533-position model. The record is from RNAcentral.